GAUGAACGCUGACAGAAUGCUUAACACAUGCAAGUCAACUGUGGCGGACGGGUGAGUAACGCGUAAAGAACUUGCCUCACAGAUAGGGACAACAUUUGGACACGAAUGCUAAUACCUGAUACUGUGAGAGAGCUUUGCAUCCCAUUAGCUAGUUGGAGAGGUAACGGCUCACCAAGGCGAUGAUGGUUAGCCGGCCUGAGAGGGUGAUCGGCCACAAGGUGACGGGGACACGGGCCGUAGUACUACUGGAGGAAGCAGUGGGGAAUAGUGGACAAUGGACCAAAGUCUGAUCCAGCAAUUCUGGGUGCACGAUGAAGUUUUCGGAAUGAAAAGUGCUUUCAGUUGGGAAGCGGUACCAACAGAAGAAGUGACGGCUAAAUACGUGCCAGCAGCCGCGGUAAUAC
RNAcentral lists this ribosomal RNA (404 nucleotides) under uncultured bacterium. RNAcentral describes it as "partial 16S ribosomal RNA". It matches the Rfam family "Bacterial small subunit ribosomal RNA", at positions 28 to 526 of the family's 1533-position model. The record is from RNAcentral.